ACGAACGCUGGCGGCGUGCUUAACACCUGCCAGUCGAACGAAGAGCGAUGGAAGCUUGCUUCUAUCAAUCUUAGUGGCGAACGGGUGAGUAACGCGUAAUCAACCUGCCCUUCAGAGGGGGACAACAGUUGGAAACGACUGCUAAUACCGCAUACGAUCUAACCUCGGCAUCGAGGAAAGAUGAAAGGUGGCCUCUAUGUAUAAGCUAUCACUGAAGGAGGGGAUUGCGUCUGAUUAGCUAGUUGGAGGGGUAACGGCCCACCAAGGCGAUGAUCAGUAGCCGGUCUGAGAGGAUGAACGGCCACAUUGGGACUGAGACACGGCCCAGACUCCUACGGGAGGCAGCAGUGGGGAAUCUUCCGCAAUGGACGAAAGUCUGACGGAGCAACGCCGCGUGAGUGAUGACGGCCUUCGGGUUGUAAAGCUCUGUUAAUCGGGACGAAAGGCCUUCUUGCGAAUAGUGAGAAGGAUUGACGGUACCGGAAUAGAAAGCCACGGCUAACUACGU
This 508-nucleotide ribosomal RNA is filed under the name uncultured bacterium. RNAcentral describes it as "partial 16S ribosomal RNA". It matches the Rfam family "Bacterial small subunit ribosomal RNA", at positions 29 to 506 of the family's 1533-position model. The record is from RNAcentral.